UUAAGCGACUAAGCGUACACGGUGGAUGCCCUGGCAGUCAGAGGCGAUGAAGGACGUGCUAAUCUGCGAUAAGCGUCGGUGAGGUUGAUAUGAACCGUUAUAACCGGCGAUUUCCGAAUGGGGAAACCCAGUGUGUUUCGACACACUAUCAUUAACUGAAUCCAUAGGUUAAUGAGGCGAACCGGGGGAACUGAAACAUCUAAGUACCCCGAGGAAAAGAAAUCAACCGAGAUUCCCCCAGUAGCGGCGAGCGAACGGGGAGGAGCCCAGAGCCUGAAUCAGUGUGUGUGUUAGUGGAAGCGUCUGGAAAGGCGCGCGAUACAGGGUGACAGCCCCGUACACAAAAAUGCACAUAUUGUGAGCUCGAUGAGUAGGGCGGGACACGUGGUAUCCUGUCUGAAUAUGGGGGGACCAUCCUCCAAGGCUAAAUACUCCUGACUGACCGAUAGUGAACCAGUACCGUGAGGGAAAGGCGAAAAGAACCCCGGCGAGGGGAGUGAAAAAGAACCUGAAACCGUGUACGUACAAGCAGUGGGAGCCUCUUAAUGGGGUGACUGCGUACCUUUUGUAUAAUGGGUCAGCGACUUAUAUUCUGUAGCAAGGUUAACCGAAUAGGGGAGCCGAAGGGAAACCGAGUCUUAACUGGGCGUUAAGUUGCAGGGUAUAGACCCGAAACCCGGUGAUCUAGCCAUGGGCAGGUUGAAGGUUGGGUAACACUAACUGGAGGACCGAACCGACUAAUGUUGAAAAAUUAGCGGAUGACUUGUGGCUGGGGGUGAAAGGCCAAUCAAACCGGGAGAUAGCUGGUUCUCCCCGAAAGCUAUUUAGGUAGCGCCUCGUGAAUUCAUCUCCGGGGGUAGAGCACUGUUUCGGCAAGGGGGUCAUCCCGACUUACCAACCCGAUGCAAACUGCGAAUACCGGAGAAUGUUAUCACGGGAGACACACGGCGGGUGCUAACGUCCGUCGUGAAGAGGGAAACAACCCAGACCGCCAGCUAAGGUCCCAAAGUCAUGGUUAAGUGGGAAACGAUGUGGGAAGGCCCAGACAGCCAGGAUGUUGGCUUAGAAGCAGCCAUCAUUUAAAGAAAGCGUAAUAGCUCACUGGUCGAGUCGGCCUGCGCGGAAGAUGUAACGGGGCUAAACCAUGCACCGAAGCUGCGGCAGCGACACUAUGUGUUGUUGGGUAGGGGAGCGUUCUGUAAGCCUGUGAAGGUGGCCUGUGAGGGUUGCUGGAGGUAUCAGAAGUGCGAAUGCUGACAUAAGUAACGAUAAAGCGGGUGAAAAGCCCGCUCGCCGGAAGACCAAGGGUUCCUGUCCAACGUUAAUCGGGGCAGGGUGAGUCGACCCCUAAGGCGAGGCCGAAAGGCGUAGUCGAUGGGAAACAGGUUAAUAUUCCUGUACUUGGUGUUACUGCGAAGGGGGGACGGAGAAGGCUAUGUUGGCCGGGCGACGGUUGUCCCGGUUUAAGCGUGUAGGCUGGUUUUCCAGGCAAAUCCGGAAAACCAAGGCUGAGGCGUGAUGACGAGGCACUACGGUGCUGAAGCGACAAAUGCCCUGCUUCCAGGAAAAGCCUCUAAGCAUCAGGUAACAUCAAAUCGUACCCCAAACCGACACAGGUGGUCAGGUAGAGAAUACCAAGGCGCUUGAGAGAACUCGGGUGAAGGAACUAGGCAAAAUGGUGCCGUAACUUCGGGAGAAGGCACGCUGAUAUGUAGGUGAAGCGACUUGCUCGUGGAGCUGAAAUCAGUCGAAGAUACCAGCUGGCUGCAACUGUUUAUUAAAAACACAGCACUGUGCAAACACGAAAGUGGACGUAUACGGUGUGACGCCUGCCCGGUGCCGGAAGGUUAAUUGAUGGGGUUAGCGGUAACGCGAAGCUCUUGAUCGAAGCCCCGGUAAACGGCGGCCGUAACUAUAACGGUCCUAAGGUAGCGAAAUUCCUUGUCGGGUAAGUUCCGACCUGCACGAAUGGCGUAAUGAUGGCCAGGCUGUCUCCACCCGAGACUCAGUGAAAUUGAACUCGCUGUGAAGAUGCAGUGUACCCGCGGCAAGACGGAAAGACCCCGUGAACCUUUACUAUAGCUUGACACUGAACAUUGAGCCUUGAUGUGUAGGAUAGGUGGGAGGCUUUGAAGUGUGGACGCCAGUCUGCAUGGAGCCGACCUUGAAAUACCACCCUUUAAUGUUUGAUGUUCUAACGUGGGCCCCUAAUCGGGGUUGCGGACAGUGUCUGGUGGGUAGUUUGACUGGGGCGGUCUCCUCCUAAAGAGUAACGGAGGAGCACGAAGGUUGGCUAAUCCUGGUCGACAUCAGGAGGUUAGUGCAAUGGCAUAAGCCAGCUUGACUGCGAGCGUGACGGCGCGAGCAGGUGCGAAAGCAGGUCAUAGUGAUCCGGUGGUUCUGAAUGGAAGGGCCAUCGCUCAACGGAUAAAAGGUACUCCGGGGAUAACAGGCUGAUACCGCCCAAGAGUUCAUAUCGACGGCGGUGUUUGGCACCUCGAUGUCGGCUCAUCACAUCCUGGGGCUGAAGUAGGUCCCAAGGGUAUGGCUGUUCGCCAUUUAAAGUGGUACGCGAGCUGGGUUUAGAACGUCGUGAGACAGUUCGGUCCCUAUCUGCCGUGGGCGCUGGAGAACUGAGGGGGGCUGCUCCUAGUACGAGAGGACCGGAGUGGACGCAUCACUGGUGUUCGGGUUGUCAUGCCAAUGGCACUGCCCGGUAGCUAAAUGCGGAAGAGAUAAGUGCUGAAAGCAUCUAAGCACGAAACUUGCCCCGAGAUGAGUUCUCCCUGAGACUUAGAGUCUCCUGAAGGAACGUUGAAGACGACGACGUUGAUAGGCCGGGUGUGUAAGCGCAGCGAUGCGUUGAGCUAACCGGUACUAAUGAACCGUGAGGCUUAACCUU
RNAcentral lists this ribosomal RNA (2902 nucleotides) under Escherichia coli. RNAcentral's name for it is "bacterial LSU rRNA". It matches the Rfam family "Bacterial large subunit ribosomal RNA". The record is from RNAcentral. Lineage: Bacteria; Pseudomonadati; Pseudomonadota; Gammaproteobacteria; Enterobacterales; Enterobacteriaceae.